This 816-nucleotide long non-coding RNA is filed under the name Malus domestica (apple). RNAcentral's name for it is "long non-coding RNA (MDOM_LNC006767)". Lineage: Eukaryota; Viridiplantae; Streptophyta; Magnoliopsida; Rosales; Rosaceae. The record is from RNAcentral.
CACACAACUUCAUAAUCCACUCCGCAUGGAACCAAUGCAUGAUUUUAAAUCCAAGAUAAAGGAAAACAUGCAACAAUAUUUACGUACUCAUACUGCCAUGCUUAUUACAUACACAAAAACUACUUGCUAGGGCAUUGAAAAUUCCCUACCUUGCCUCCAACUCAACGUAGUAAACAACCAACCACCGUCCAUAACUGCCACAUGGUGGUUCAGUGGUAGGGGAAGAAUUUCUGAUCUGUAUUCCACAUGACAUGUUCCUGACGCUAGUGAAUCGCACGAUGGUGGGCAGGAGGAGGCUAAAAUGCAUCUGUGAGUCUUCCCAACUCACGAACGGCUAGACUACUGUGACGAAGCAACCAAUUAGUCUCCUUUUUGAAAGAAAAAAAAAACACAAAGACCAUCCAUGUAAAGUUUUGAUAACAUUCAAAUUAUGACAAUUUAUACUUUUUCUAAAACGAAUGCAAAUCCCUAAUCAUUGAAUUUUUGGCCUAGCAAUAGUUGUUAACCCAUAAUUAAAAUCUUUAAUUAAUCAUUUCUAAGUUGAAAGUAAUAUAGCUUAGAUCAUCAAAAUUUGUCAAACUUUGUUCUUAUAUUAGAGAAAACGAAAGGCUUACUUGGACAAGGCCCCUUUCCUAGAAAAUAAAAUCCCACCAUCACACACUACAUUCUUAGUUUAAUUCUAACUGAAUUAUAAUUGAUAGCUGGUCAGCAUUUUCUACGACGCGUGAACUAUAUAUAAUAGAAAACAAAAAAAAGUCAAUCUCUUACCGUAUAUCCCCAAGAACCCUAAUAAUUGAGGAAAAGUUGUCAUCCAUC